Molecule: ribosomal RNA, 253 nt
Filed under: uncultured bacterium
Lineage: Bacteria
Description: partial 16S ribosomal RNA
Rfam family: Bacterial small subunit ribosomal RNA
Source: RNAcentral
UACGGGGGGGGCAAGCGUUGUUCGGAAUUACUGGGCGUAAAGGGCUCGUAGGCGGCCAACUAAGUCAGACGUGAAAUCCCUCGGCUUAACCGGGGAACUGCAUCUGAUACUGGAUGGCUUGAGUUCGGGAGAGGGAUGCGGAAUUCCAGGUGUAGCGGUGAAAUGCGUAGAGAUCAGGAGGAACACCCGUGGCGAAGGCGGCUCUCUGGGCCGGCCCUGACGCUGAGGCGCGAAAGCGUGGGGAGCGAACGGG